UGUAGUUCAGUGGUAGAGUGCUUGCCUAGCACGCAUGAACUCUGGGUUCAAGUCCCAGCA
Molecule: transfer RNA, 60 nt
Filed under: Fukomys damarensis (Damara mole-rat)
Lineage: Eukaryota; Metazoa; Chordata; Mammalia; Rodentia; Bathyergidae
Rfam family: tRNA
About the family: Transfer RNA (tRNA) molecules are approximately 80 nucleotides in length. Their secondary structure includes four short double-helical elements and three loops (D, anti-codon, and T loops). Further hydrogen bonds mediate the characteristic L-shaped molecular structure. tRNAs have two regions of fundamental functional importance: the anti-codon, which is responsible for specific mRNA codon recognition, and the 3' end, to which the tRNAs corresponding amino acid is attached (by aminoacyl-tRNA synthetases). tRNAs cope with the degeneracy of the genetic code in two manners: having more than one tRNA (with a specific anti-codon) for a particular amino acid; and 'wobble' base-pairing, i.e. permitting non-standard base-pairing at the 3rd anti-codon position.
Source: Rfam by way of RNAcentral